Molecule: ribosomal RNA, 118 nt
Filed under: Salmonella enterica
Lineage: Bacteria; Pseudomonadati; Pseudomonadota; Gammaproteobacteria; Enterobacterales; Enterobacteriaceae
Also listed under: 1 other name
Description: partial 23S ribosomal RNA
Rfam family: Bacterial large subunit ribosomal RNA (bases 1-106)
Source: RNAcentral
AAGUCUCCUGAAGGAACGUUGAAGACGACGACGUUGAUAGGCCGGGUGUGUAAGCGCAGCGAUGCGUUGAGCUAACCGGUACUAAUGAACCGUGAGGCUUAACCCUACAACGCCGAAG